GCGAAAGCAUUUGCCAAGAAUGUUUUCAUUAAUCAAGAACGAAAGUCAGAGGUGCGAAGGCGAUCAGAUACCGCCGUAGUUCUGACCGUAAACGUUGCCAACUGGCAAUUGGGCGCACUUCUACAGAAGUUGCCGCCAGCAGUAUUGCCCGGGAAACCAAAGUCAUUGGGUUCCGGGGGGAGUAUGGUUGCAAAGCUGAAACUUAAAGGAAUUGACGGAAGGGCACCACCAGGAGUGGAGCCUGCGGCUUAAUUUGACUCAACACGGGAAACCUCACCCGGCCCGAACACUGUUAUGACAGACAGGUUGAGAGCUGUUUCUCGAUUCAGUGGUUGGUGGUGCAUGGCCGUUCUUAGUUCGUGGAGCGAUCUGUCUGGUUAAUUCCGAUAACGAACGAGACUCUUGCCUGCUAAAUAGACGGCGCCGACUACGGACGGCGACCGUUCGCUUCUUAGAGGGACAAGCGGCUUUUAGCCGCGUGAAGCGGAGAGCAAUAACAGGUCUGUGAUGCCCUCAGAUGUUCGGGGCCGCACGCGCGCUACACUGUUUGCAUCAGCGUGUUUCUCCCGCGCCGGCCGGCGUGGGCAACCCGUUGAACCGCAAACGUGCUAGGGAUCGGAGAUUGCAAUUGUUCUCCGUGAACGAGGAAUUCCUUGUACUGGCGAGUCAUCAGCUCGCGGGGAAUCUGUCCCUGCCCUUUGUACACACCGCCGUCGCUACUACCGAUUGAGUGGUUUAGUGAGGCUCACGGACUGCGCGCGGCACACGGCGUCCUCGGGCGUCGCGUCGCGAGGCGGAAAGUGAGACGAACUUGAUCACUUCUAGGAAGUAAAAGUCGUAACAAGGUUUUCGUAGGUGAACCUGCGGAAGGAUC
Molecule: ribosomal RNA, 874 nt
Filed under: Hippothyris hongkongris
Lineage: Eukaryota; Metazoa; Bryozoa; Gymnolaemata; Cheilostomatida; Bitectoporidae
Description: SSU rRNA
Rfam family: Eukaryotic small subunit ribosomal RNA
Source: RNAcentral